Long non-coding RNA from Lemur catta (Ring-tailed lemur), 3932 nucleotides. RefSeq lists it as uncharacterized. NCBI's taxonomy places the organism in Eukaryota, Metazoa, Chordata, Mammalia, Primates, Lemuridae. The record is from RefSeq and is a predicted model, not a curated record. The transcript has 4 exons.
UGUUAUGUUCCCUGUUCUUGAUUUUAAUUCUUCUACUACUUUCUUUAAAACUAUGAAGUGUAUCUUUUGUGCCAAGAAGACAACAGCUUUUAUCCCUCCAAUAUUUGAACUGUUAACUGAGACAAUAAUUGAAAUUAUUGACCUGAAGCUAAACAAAAGCAUACAAAUAUUCUUCAGGCUAAGCUAUUAUUUUAUUUGGUAUGAGUUCCCGGGUUAGCCAUUAACAUUUUCCCAAAGCCUCGGGACCUUCCAGGGACUAAGCUCCACCUAGAACUGUAAGAUACUGGCAGCAGCUGUCACUUUAUUAAUCUGGUUUCAAUUUUUUAAAUGUUUGGAUUCACAGCUUAUCUAUGGGAACACAUAAUUGUUCCAUCUUUAAUAUUCCAGAGAGGAGAUUUACUGAAAAAGUUCAUUUAGUAUCCCCAUCCGCAAGCCAGCAAAUGAAAUCUUAGCCAAAGCUCAUGAGAGAGGACUCAUUAGGAGGAAAGCCAUCCCCAGGGCUCGCCGGCUGUCCCUCCGUCCAUCUGUCAACAGCAAGACAAGAACAGCGGCUGCCAUGGGGGCCCCAAGAGAGCAGGAGAGGAAGACACUGCCAGACCGCAGCGCUUGGCACCAGAAGCCAGUUAUCAGCCAGAUAGUGUGCUCGGCCAGCGAUGUGAAACCCAAUCAUUAAGUUAUCAGGAACUGGUCAGAGAGAAAAAAGGACUCUCUCCCGCGUGUGUGAAGCUGCAAUGGUGUGGCCAGGAAGGCUGUGACUUGCAAUGCCACAAGGUUCUCAGAUGUGGAUAAAAGGAGAUACUGGUGUAAUCAAGAAGAGGUUGGCUCCCCCUUAGUGCCAAAAUUGUAGUAUUGAAACACCAUUUCUCACAAAAAAAAUAAAUCAAGGCUUCUUGGAGAAAUGGCUGAUUUCACACCUUCAAGAGAAAAGUAUGAGAUGAGUCUGGAAUAUCUUAUCACACCAAAUAGCAAGGAGGCCAUUGAAGACUACUAAGUUUCUUGACAAAACGAUUGAAUCUGAGUGUGAUCCAGUCAGUGGAUUCAGCCAGUAAUUUCCAGGAAGUGCAGAGGACAGAGAAACAUGCUGAACUCCUGGCAUGAGUAUGCAACCACCAAAAUCCACAUGCUGUACGUUCCUGUUCCAGUUCCGACAACUCCUCACUGGGCAGGUCCUCAAAACCACUUCUGCCAUCUCAACCCCAGCCUUGUCAGUUUUUACAAUCUCCUCAUCAUCCUUGGUACAAGAGGAAACGAUGCCAUCAAGAGGUGCAGUAAACACCAGAUAUGUGAGUACCCAACAGCAUGGCUUCUCUAGAGAAUUGAAAGUAGUCUGAGUGAAGAAGCUUAGGUUAGAAGAAGACAAGUGAGGAGAUAAGGUCUAGAGAGAGAGAGUCCCAGACGGAGGAAGUCAGGAGACAAGAAUUCCUGUGGUUGGAGGUCUGCCUUUGAGUAAUUUUAGGUAAGGAUCUAACAGGUUUGGGCACAUGAGGGGUGGGCACAGCUAGGCAGAGGUCUCAGAGCGAAUCUGAGGCACAAACAGCUCUGUGAUAAGCACCUGUUGUGUCUAUUGUCCUGAGAGGGCUGUUUACCCAGAGGAGCCUCCUGGUGUGUGAGUAGGAGUUAGCCUCCCCCCGCCCAUUGUUUAGAUAAAUAAAAUUUUAAGGGAUUCCCAAAGAAAACAACAAAGUUAUUUACUGGUUUACAGCCUUAUCUUCCUGGACAGGAAUUUCCUGGAACAAAGAAUGAAGUCCCUGUGGAGUCAACUUAGUCCUGAUAUUCUGCAGCACACCUGGGCACAGACAUGCCUGGGCAUAGACACGCCUGGGCACAGACAUGCCUGGGCACAGACACACCUGGGCACAGACAUGCCUGGGCACAGAGCCCCAGAGGAGCCUCCCAUGGGAGCUCAGUGGGUGAGGGGUGGUUCAUGAUUCAGCCUCAUAGGUCACCGACAGGACAUUUGGGCUUUAUUCUGAGACGGGACUGUGGCAAGCAGAGAAGUGCUAAGUGUUUGCUGGGUAAGCAGCAAGUGUAACACAGCACCACACACUGGGCGGCUUAAACGACAGACAUCUAUUGUCUCUCAGUGCUGGGUGCUCAAAAUUUGAAAACAAGCUGUCAGCAGGGUUGGUUCCUUCUGAGGGCUGAGAGGUAAAGGAAACCAAAAAUAUUUCACUCCAAUAUACUUCUUUGACGUAUUUUGAGGUGACUGUUCAGAGGGCCUGCAAAUGCAAUAACAGCUCUGCAACGCUGUCUUUUGUGGGGGAGAUUUGCAUCUGCAGAGGAAAUGAAGCGAAGUAAACAACACAUGCAAGCAGGCUUUCUCUGAAGCCCCCCUUGUCCGGAUCUGGGAAAGAUUCACCGAGAGUCUGACAUUUUUAAGGGAGAAACAUAUACCACCAGCUACCACCUAUUCCUCCCAAGGGCUGCUGCCUGCAGGUUUCCUCUGUAUAACAAACCACUCUGAACAGCCAGGCCUCCUCUUCCCCCUCACAGCACCUGUCUUCCCACCAUAACCUGUUUUGCCCUGAUCCAAGCCCCCAUUCUUUCUGUAAUCUCAAGAUGGUAAAAAAGCAUCCACCAUCUGGCCAUUUUCUUUGAGUUGAGUUUUUCAUAUUUUGUAUGACUACUUUGCCUGUAUGCAUAUUAAUAAAUUUGUAUGCCUUUUUUCCCCUGUUAAUCUAUUAUUAGUUUUGUUUUAUAGAUUCAAAUUAUCAAACUUUCAGGGGAAAAAUGUAAACUUCCCUGCAGAGGAAAGGAGCUGUUGCAGCUUCUGUCCGUGGAUUUUAGGUGUCUGUCUUUCCCUGUGACUCUCACAUCAUCUGCCCCCAUGCAGCUGUGUGUCCAAAUGUCCCCUUCUUAAAAGGAUUAGGGCCCAUCCUAAUGACCUCAUUUUAACUUGGCUAUCUUUGUGGAGACCCUGUAUCCAAAUAAGGUCAUAUGCUCCAUUGGUGGGGGCUAAAGACCUCACUAUAUGAAUUUGGGGAAGGGGCACCAUUCACCCCUAACAGCUGCUGUGUGUAGGGUAUAGUGAAUGGUGGGGGCAAGGAUGGAAACAAGGAGACCAGUUAGGUGAUUACAGUUGCACAGGUAAGUGAUGAUGGUGCACUUGGAUGUAUUCUGAUGGUGAAACCUGUGAAAAUAAAAUUUAAGCAUUUCUGGAACUCUAAAAAUAUUUUAAGUCUUGAGAGAAAUGUGACUGUGACUUGAGUUAUGCAGCAUGUGGUUGUAAUUUCUGUUUUUCAGAUUAUACAUGAACUCUCUCUUUCAUUGUUUUUUGUUUUAUAAAUGACCAGGAGAGAUGGGAGACCAGACCUCCUCCCCUUCCAAUCACUGGUCUUUGUUACAGAUAACUGCCUUCUUUAUUGUCCUGUACCUGACAGAUGGCGCAAAAGACCCCAUGACUACUACAUCUUCAGUGUGAAAUGUUAAAUAUACCUUUCCCUAAAAAGUAAAAAAAAGACCGUCUCAACUAAUCAGAUUAUUGUAACCAUACAUUAAGCUUUAUAUAAAAGGAUGUUAAAAUUCUGUUAAGUUUCAUAAAGCUUAUCUCUAGAAAUGACCCCAAACUUAAGCAUUUGGACACACUGACUUUCAUUCUUUGGAAUUUUUGCUUCGUGGGUGACUGUCUUAAAUGCAUUCUCUUUAAACUAGAUUCUGGCUCUUUUGAUUAUUUUAGGUUGACAUUUUGGUGAUCAUGAAGGAAUUCAAAGUGAACGUUUGGUAAUCCCUGCUGCUUGUCCAACAAGCCAGCCUUGAUACCAACACAAAGGACUGUUGUUCACCUGACCUCACUGGAGCCAGCAGGGGUCUCUGGCGAGGCUCCUCUCCGAUUUCAGAUCUCCGGUGGCUUUAGUUGAAAUUCAGACCUUACUCCAGCGACCCAAUUCCACACUUGACAGAACUAAAAUUAAAGCUCUGCUUUAAGAUAAAAA